RNAcentral lists this long non-coding RNA (1244 nucleotides) under Anser cygnoides (Swan goose). RNAcentral's name for it is "lncRNA (ENSACDG00005000925.1)". Lineage: Eukaryota; Metazoa; Chordata; Aves; Anseriformes; Anatidae. The record is from RNAcentral.
ACAUCCCAUCCAACUACUGUCUCCUGUUUGCUCCAUAGAAUAUUUGAACACUUCUCUUGAAAUCUUCUGUCUGCCUUCUGACAUGUAUCUGACCGGAGUCAUCCUGCUAACAACUGUGUGAACGAAGAGCAGAAAAGGCAGCUUCACCCCAGAGAACUCAUCGCAUGUCAGAUAGCGUAUGGAGCUGGUGGACCAACACAGGCAAGGAGAAGCUGUCUGGGAACGCCUUGGACAUCCAUGGAAACCAUGAAGAACACAGUGGAGAGCUCUGUGCCUCGGCCAAGGGCAUAAGCCGUUUGGCUUACACACAUGUCUGGCCCACAUUCCUGCAAGAGGUCUGCAUUUACUAUGAUGAGAGAGUCCAUCAAAAGAAAAAGAGAGAGAUGUGAAGAAAAGAUUCUUGGAAAUUUGAUGACUGGAAAAAUGACAGUUCUUGCCAAGGAUUUUUCUGAAAACUGGAAAAAACAACAGGACUGGGACCAGCAAUCUGUGGGGUAAGGGAGCUUUUAGUGUUGACGUCUUCCAUUCCGCAGAACGACACAGAUUCCGACCCAUUAAUCUCUGGUGGGGUCAGCAAGGUCUCCUGUUGUUCACAGUGCAUCGACAGUCAAAAGUAUUCUCAAAACAUUUCAAUAGGAUACUUUUUUUUUCUUGUGAAAGGGGAAAAAACGGAAUGAGCAUAUGCUAUUUAAGAGCUCCAUCCAAAACUUUUUUAAAAAUGCCAUCUGAAAAGUAAAAAUACUUUUAGCACAGGGUGAUAUUUAUUAAAACCUUAACAAGUUGAACAUGGUAUCAUGAGUAAAAAGUUCAGAGUUGACAACAAGCUGAAAAUAUUCUGAGUUGUAACACAUGGAGCCACUGAAGCUGCUACUAAAUCCUAUGGGGUAUUUAUCAGCAAAAAUGAUAAUAGGUUUAUAAAGCUAUACAGUGUAUGACAAUAAGAUACGAUUUAAGGAAGAAAUGACUUGGAGCUAUGUUAAGAAGAGUUUUUUAGACACCUUUGUCCCCUCAUUUCAUGGAGAAUAUAAAAUUUCACUUUUGUCUGCAGUAACACCUGACUCUCCAACAGAGAAGACAAAAAGUGGCCUUACACAGAUGACUGGGCUCUGCAAUAGCAACAAUUGAUGAUUUCUUAGUUUAAAGGAAAAAGAGGAGAAACUGUACGGAAUUCUGCUGGUCCCAUGUGUUCAAAUGUUAUGAAUCAGGCUCUCUGCAGUCAUCAAUAAACCAGACUAUUGUUGCCA